GUCGAACGCGAAAGUGGAGCAAUCCAUGAGUAGAGUGGCAAACGGGUGAGUAACGCGUGGGUGACCUGCCUUCGAGCGGGGGAUAACGUUCCGAAAGGGACGCUAAUACCGCAUAACAUCCUGUCUUUUAAGAGGCGGAGAUCAAAGCCGGGGAUCGCAAGACCUGGCACUCGAAGAGGGGCCCGCGUCCGAUUAGCUAGUUGGUGAGGUAAUGGCUCACCAAGGCUCCGAUCGGUAUCCGGCCUAAGAGGGCGGACGGACACACUGGGACUGAGACACGGCCCAGACUCCUACGGGAGGCAGCAGUGGGGAAUUGUUCGCAAUGGGCGCAAGCCUGACGACGCAACGCCGCGUGGAGGAUGAAGAUCUUCGGGUCGCAAACUCCUUUCGAUCGAGACGAACGGCUUCCGGGUGAACAAUCCGGGAGAGUGACGGUACCGAGAGAAGAAGCCCCGACUAACUCCGUGCCAGCAGCCGCGGUAAUACGGGGGGGGCAAGCGUUGUUCGGAAUUACUGGGCGUAAAGGGCUCGUAGGUGGCCAACUAAGUCAGACGUGAAAUCCCUCGGCUUAACCGGGGAACUGCGUCUGAUACUGGAUGGCUUGAGGUUGGGAGAGGGACGCGGAAUUCCAGGUGUAGCGGUGAAAUGCGUAGAUAUCUGGAGGAACACCGGUGGCGAAGGCGGCGUCCUGGACCAAUUCUGACACUGAGGAGCGAAAGCCAGGGGAGCAAACGGGAUUAGAUACCCCGGUAGUCCUGGCCCUAAACG
RNAcentral lists this ribosomal RNA (768 nucleotides) under uncultured bacterium. RNAcentral's name for it is "bacterial SSU rRNA". It matches the Rfam family "Bacterial small subunit ribosomal RNA", at positions 61 to 808 of the family's 1533-position model. The record is from RNAcentral.